UCCCUGGUGGUACAGUGGCUAAAAUGAUGCAUUCCCAAUACAUGGGACCCAGGUUCAAUCCUUGGUCAGGGAG
This is a non-coding RNA of Ovis aries (sheep), 73 nucleotides long. The record is from Rfam. Lineage: Eukaryota; Metazoa; Chordata; Mammalia; Artiodactyla; Bovidae.